Molecule: long non-coding RNA, 1178 nt
Organism: Syzygium oleosum
Lineage: Eukaryota; Viridiplantae; Streptophyta; Magnoliopsida; Myrtales; Myrtaceae
Exons: 2
Source: RefSeq, a predicted model, not a curated record
UUGGCGACUAUCAUAUGGGGCUCCUUCAAUGUCUGCUGAACUUCUGCGGUCAUGAAAAUGCCGAUUUGAUCAUCCCAUUGACAAUCUACCGAACUCUGAUCUAGAUACAAUUGUAAUAGGUGCUUAGCUGAUGUGAACUUAUUUUUUAUGUCUUUUCAAUUUGCGUAUGUGAAAUAUGUUAUUGACAUGUGAAAGCUCUAGUCCAUGUAAGAGUAGGUUGUUCUUAGUCCAUUCAUGGAAAGGAGAUGGCAUUUUGCUGAGGAUUGGUAAGUCACAAAUAGUGCAUCGUCAACAUCCUUCUAAAAAGUGCUGCAAUAGAAACAAUUGUUUGUUGCUAGAUUAGGAAAAGGUUCAAUCCAUGGAUAACAUGUACAUACAGAAAAGUCAUUACAUAUACAAUUACAAAUACAUGCACGCGCAAACAUGUCCAUCUAAAAAGCCAGUUACUUGGCUAUCUAUCUAUCUUUUUUCGUACACAUAUAGAAUGGGGAUGAAUAUUUGGCACAAAUGCACAUGCACCCACACAAAGGCGCACAAGCAUGCAUGUUUGGUUGUGGGCACGCUCUCAUACACACGUGACCUUUUUAUAUCCUCCUUGUCAAGAGAGUUACAUAAGCUUUCAUAAUGCCUUUGCACUUGGACUCCGCUUAUUGUGGCUUUUUCCUUGUCUUCUUCUUCAUAGAAUAGUGCUUUUGUAAUCUUCUAGGAAGUCUUGUUCUGCCUACAAGUUGAAAGAAAUCACCGGUAGUGGGAUUUUUGCUGCCAAAGGGGAAGAUUUAUUGGAGCCUGGAAGUGCCAACCCUGCUUCAAAUAACAAAACAGGAUUAAAGAUGUACCAGGUCCUCCACAAUAUUGCGGUCGCUGAAUACUUUCGUGAUGGCUGUUCAGAUCCAAGAAGAUUGCUUGAAGUACUUAAUAACGUCAAUAUGUGGCAGUCCUUCAAACACACUCUCUUCAGAAUAUGCGAUCUACUCUAAGCUAUUGAGUUUUCAAUCAGUCUUGAUAUGUUGUGUUGAACACAGUGGGAGUAGGCGAGAGGGAAACACUGAUAGUUGCUUCUAAAUUAUCAUCUAAACAUCGAUGAAGGAGAUGAAUUACUUUGAACUUUGUCAUUCGUGUGGCAAAUGUUGAUGAAUGUAUUUCAUUUAUAUAUCAUUAUAAUAUUUUGAUGUUAUUAA